ACACGACUACAUUAGACUACCCGCGUAGUCCUAGCCGUAAACGAUACUCGCUAGGUGUCGGCCACGGUGCGACCGUUGUCGGUGCCGUAGGGAAGCCGUGAAGCGAGCCACCUGGGAAGUACGGCCGCAAGGCUGAAACUUAAAGGAAUUGGCGGGGAGCACCACAACGGGUGGAGCUUGCGGUUUAAUUGGAUUCAACGCCGGAAAUCUUACCGGGACCGACAGCAACAUGAAGGCCAGGCUGAAGACUUUGCCGGAUUAGCUG
This 265-nucleotide ribosomal RNA is filed under the name uncultured archaeon. RNAcentral's name for it is "partial 16S ribosomal RNA". It matches the Rfam family "Archaeal small subunit ribosomal RNA", at positions 717 to 982 of the family's 1478-position model. The record is from RNAcentral.